GACAAUCUGUCCGAGUGGUCAAGGAGUGAGUCUAGAAAACUCAUGGGCUCUGCCCGCACAGGUUCGAAUCCUGUGGUUGUCG
RNAcentral lists this transfer RNA (82 nucleotides) under Pseudozyma flocculosa PF-1. RNAcentral's name for it is "tRNA-Ser (AGA) (tRNA-Ser-AGA-1-1, tRNA-Ser-AGA-1-2)". It matches the Rfam family "tRNA". Rfam says of the family: Transfer RNA (tRNA) molecules are approximately 80 nucleotides in length. Their secondary structure includes four short double-helical elements and three loops (D, anti-codon, and T loops). The record is from RNAcentral. Lineage: Eukaryota; Fungi; Basidiomycota; Ustilaginomycetes; Ustilaginales; Ustilaginaceae.